Molecule: ribosomal RNA, 322 nt
Filed under: Klebsiella pneumoniae ISC21
Lineage: Bacteria; Pseudomonadati; Pseudomonadota; Gammaproteobacteria; Enterobacterales; Enterobacteriaceae
Description: SSU rRNA
Rfam family: Bacterial small subunit ribosomal RNA
Source: RNAcentral
UUAAAUUGAAGAGUUUGAUCAUGGCUCAGAUUGAACGCUGGCGGCAGGCCUAACACAUGCAAGUCGAGCGGUAGCACAGAGAGCUUGCUCUCGGGUGACGAGCGGCGGACGGGUGAGUAAUGUCUGGGAAACUGCCUGAUGGAGGGGGAUAACUACUGGAAACGGUAGCUAAUACCGCAUAAUGUCGCAAGACCAAAGUGGGGGACCUUCGGGCCUCAUGCCAUCAGAUGUGCCCAGAUGGGAUUAGCUAGUAGGUGGGGUAACGGCUCACCUAGGCGACGAUCCCUAGCUGGUCUUAGAGGAUGACCAGCCACACUGGAAC